GACGAACCGUGCGAACGUUGUUCGGAAUCACUGGGCUUAAAGGGCGCGUAGGCGGGCUGACAAGUCUGGGGUGAAAUCCCGCGGCUCAACCGUGGAACUGCCUUAGAUACUGUCGGCCUCGAGGAAGGUAGGGGCAUGCGGAACUGUAGGUGGAGCGGUGAAAUGCGUUGAUAUCUACAGGAACUCCGGUGGCGAAAGCGGCGUGCUGGACCUUUUCUGACGCUGAGGCGCGAAAGCUAGGGGAGCAAGCGGG
Molecule: ribosomal RNA, 253 nt
Filed under: uncultured bacterium
Lineage: Bacteria
Description: partial 16S ribosomal RNA
Rfam family: Bacterial small subunit ribosomal RNA
Source: RNAcentral